UUAAGGGUUCGACUCCGGAGAGGGAGCCUGAGAAAUGGCUACCACAUCCAAGGAUGGCAGCAGGCGCGCAAAUUACCCACUCUCAGUACGAGGAGGUAGUGACGAAAAAUAACAAUGCGGGACUCAUCAGAGGCCUCGCAAUUGGAAUGAGCGCACUUUAAAUCGUUCGACGAGGAUCUAUUGGAGGGCAAGUCUGGUGCCAGCAGCCGCGGUAAUUCCAGCUCCAAUAGCGUAUAUUAAAGUUGUUGCAGUUAAAAAGCUCGUAGUUGGAUCUGGGGUUCGGGUCGGCGGUUUGCCGCUUCGGCGGCUACUGCCGUGCUCGACUCUUACUAGCCGGUGCGUCUUGCGAUGCUCUUCAUCGAGUGCCGUAGGAGCCUGGCAUGUUUACUUUGAAAAAAUUAGAGUGCUCAAAGCAGGCGAUUCCGCCUGAAUAGUGUUGCAUGGAAUAAUGGAAUAGGACCUCGGUUCUAUUUUGUUGGUUUUCGGAACUUGAGGUAAUGAUUAAGAGGGACGGUCGGGGGCAUUCGUAUUUCGGUGUUAGAGGUGAAAUUCUUGGAUCGCUGAAAGACGGACAAAUGCGAAAGCAUCUGCCAAGAACGUCUCCAUUAAUCAAGAACGAAAGUCAGAGGUUCGAAGACGAUCAGACACCGUCCUAGUUCUGACCAUAAACGAUGCCAACUAGCGAUCCGCAGUGGUUGCUAUAAACGGACUCUGCGAGCAGCUUCCGGGAAACCAAAGUGUUUGGGUUCCGGGGGAAGUAUGGUUGCAAAGCUGAAACUUAAAGGAAUUGACGGAAGGGCACCACCAGGAGUGGAGCCUGCGGCUUAAUUUGACCCAACACGGGGAAACUCACCCGGUCCGGACACUGUAAGGAUUGACAGAUCGAGAGCUCUUUCUUGAUUCGGUGGAUGGUGGUGCAUGGCCGUUCUUAGUUGGUGGAGUGAUUUGUCUGGUUAAUUCCGAUAACGAACGAGACUCUAGCCUGCUAACUAGUUGCGCCGUGUUCAUACGCGGCUGUAGACUUCUUAGAGGGACAGGUGGCGUUUAGCCACACGAAAUUGAGCAAUAACAGGUCUGUGAUGCCCUUAGAUGUCCGGGGCCGCACGCGCGCUACACUGAAGGAGUCAGCGUGUGCUAUCCGGGCUCGAAGAGUUCGGUAACCCGUUGAAACUCCUUCGUGCUUGGGAUUGUGGCUUGUAAUUAUCGCGCAUGAACGAGGAAUUCCCAGUAAGUGCAAGUCAUCAGCUUGCGCUGACUACGUCCCUGCCCUUUGUACACACCGCCCGUCGCUACUACCGAUUGAAUGGUUUAGCAAGGUACUCGGAUUGGUCUCGAUCUUGUACGAAAGUGCGGGAUCUGUGGCCGAGAAGAAGGCCAAACUUGAUCAUUUAGAGGAAGUAAAAGUCGUAACAAGGUU
This 1417-nucleotide ribosomal RNA is filed under the name metagenome. RNAcentral's name for it is "SSU rRNA". It matches the Rfam family "Eukaryotic small subunit ribosomal RNA", at positions 369 to 1801 of the family's 1831-position model. The record is from RNAcentral.